RNAcentral lists this transfer-messenger RNA (379 nucleotides) under Desulfovibrio sp. It matches the Rfam family "transfer-messenger RNA". Rfam says of the family: Bacterial tmRNA, also known as 10Sa RNA or SsrA, is named for its dual tRNA and mRNA-like properties. Its role is to liberate the mRNA from a stalled ribosome. To accomplish this part of the tmRNA is used as a reading frame that ends in a translation stop signal. The record is from RNAcentral. Lineage: Bacteria; Pseudomonadati; Thermodesulfobacteriota; Desulfovibrionia; Desulfovibrionales; Desulfovibrionaceae.
GGGGGCGCACUGGUUUCGACGUGGAUAUGGAAACCGGAGUUGCAGGCCGAGGCGCCGCUGGCCUCGUAAAAAGCGGCAAAACAGUAAUUGCCAACAACGAUUACGACUACGCCUACGCUGCCUAGUCAGCGCGGCAACCUGACCGCAUAGCCGGUCACGUCCGGGGGGAGGACGCCUGAUAAUCCCACCGGGCGACACUCAUCAGGCUGGCGGAAACUGGUGUUCACCGGGGUUUUCCGCGAGAUUGUCACCGGCGAGCCCGCCGUGCUGCGCCUGAUCAGGGGCCACCAGCACGGUCAGAUCCAAACCUGAUCUAUGCCUGUAGACGCUUCGCGCGGAGUGUUCGCGGACGGGGGUUCGACUCCCCCCGCCUCCACCA